RNAcentral lists this ribosomal RNA (598 nucleotides) under Hypsoblennius invemar (tessellated blenny). RNAcentral's name for it is "partial 16S ribosomal RNA". It matches the Rfam family "Bacterial large subunit ribosomal RNA", at positions 1815 to 2620 of the family's 2925-position model. Lineage: Eukaryota; Metazoa; Chordata; Actinopteri; Blenniiformes; Blenniidae. The record is from RNAcentral.
AUCGCCUCCUGAAUACCCUAUAUAGGAGGUCCCGCCUGCCCUGUGAUAACAAUUUAACGGCCGCGGUAUUUUGACCGUGCAAAGGUAGCGCAAUCACUUGUCUUUUAAAUGAAGACCUGUAUGAAUGGCAUAACGAGGGCUUAACUGUCUCCCUCCCUCAAUCAAUGAAAUUGAUUUCUCCGUGCAGAAGCGGGGGUGCGCCCAUAAGACGAGAAGACCCUGUGGAGCUUUAGACAAUAAAUAGGCCCUGUAAAGAAUUCCUCACAAAAAGAGAUUAAACAAAAGGUAAUCUAUUUUGCUGUCUUUGGUUGGGGCGACCGCGGGGGAACACAAAUCCCCCAUGUGGAAAAAGAACAAGUUUCUUUAAACUUAGAGUGCUAACUCAAAGAGCCAGAAUAUCUGACCUAAAACGAUCCGGCAGAGCCGAUCAACAAAAUCAGUUACCCCAGGGAUAACAGCGCAAUCCUCUCCCAGAGCCCAUAUCGACGAGAGGGUUUACGACCUCGAUGUUGGAUCAGGAUGUCCUAGUGGUGCAGCCGCUAUUAAGGGUUCGUUUGUUCAACGAUUAAAAUCCUACGUGAUCUGAGUUCAGACCGGA